GACGAACGCUGGCGGCGUGCUUAACACAUGCAAGUCGAGCGGUAAGGCCUUUCGGGGUACACGAGCGGCGAACGGGUGAGUAACACGUGGGCGACCUGCCCUCCACUCUGGGAUAAGCCCGGGAAACUGGGUCUAAUACCGGAUAUGACCUCUCAUCGCAUGGUGGGUGGUGGAAAGUUUUUCGGUGGGGGAUGGGCCCGCGGCCUAUCAGCUUGUUGGUGGGGUGAUGGCCUACCAAGGCGACGACGGGUAGCCGGCCUGAGAGGGCGACCGGCCACACUGGGACUGAGACACGGCCCAGACUCCUACGGGAGGCAGCAGUGGGGAAUAUUGCGCAAUGGGCGGAAGCCUGACGCAGCGACGCCGCGUGGGGGAUGACGGCCUUCGGGUUGUAAACCUCUUCCGCCAGGGACGAAGCGUGAGUGACGGUACCUGGAUAAGAAGCACCGGCCAACUACGUGCCAGCAGCCGCAGUAA
RNAcentral lists this ribosomal RNA (477 nucleotides) under uncultured bacterium. RNAcentral's name for it is "partial 16S ribosomal RNA". It matches the Rfam family "Bacterial small subunit ribosomal RNA", at positions 28 to 523 of the family's 1533-position model. The record is from RNAcentral.